GGUGUGCUUUUUCAUCUAGCUUCUCCUGCCACUGCUUAAAGUGUCCAUGAUUCUUUAAGGUGAGCUGCAGUUUAUGGCCCCAGGGCAUACCUGGGGGGGGAGCAUAAUGUGCUUAGGCCCUCCCCAAAGUGAGAAGGUUAGGAAGUACUUAGUGAUUUUGUGUUCCUUUUUAGCUUUGUUUAUAGAGGGAGGUUGUUUCUUUUCUGUAGUGCUUGUAAUAAUUCUCACUCCUAACCUCACCAUCGUUGUGUCUCGAAUAAGUUAGAGGUAGCAUUAUAGAGAAUCUGGCAUAAAUAUUUGCAGUUGUGAGACCCAAAGCGAUAGUUAUUGGUGGAGCUUGAAUUCUAGGCUGGUGAGUUGGCAGCUUUGUGCCUGAGAGGGAGUGGGUGGUUCUUAGGCUUCAGUGAUUCCCCCCCACCCUUUUUUUUUUUUUUUUAAGGAAAUUGUGUUAUAAUUUUGGUAAAAGUGUAAACCCCCUCCCUCUGGACAAUACUUAGUGGCAGUUGCUAAAGGGGGCUCUUUUUUAAAUACAAGGACAAAAAUGGAUGUACUGCCAAUAAUUAAAGUAAAUUUCCAACACUUACUUGCCGCACCCUCUCAACGCCCCCUUUAUCAUGUUAAACAAUCUUUUCUGCUUUUUUCUUAUUCCUCCUCUCCUGGAGAGCUGUGAUUAGAAACCACACCCACCCUUGAGUGAAAUGCUUGAACUGGGAGAGGGAGGCUGGCUACCUGUGAACAAACAUUGGCCCAAAUAAGGGAAAAUAAGUGUCCCUGGACUUUGGACUAGUUUAUAACCAGAUAGUCAAAAAGCAGCAAGAUGUUGCUCUCUGCCCUCUCUGAAAACAAAUAAGACCCAUAACAUGCUUACACAACCUUUUAAAAUAUAGAUCAGUGUUUUGCUACCUCUGUAGUUUUCUGAGAAAGCCUGUAUGUUGAUGAACACACACACACACCACACACUUCUUGGCAGUUGGUUUGCUUUACUAAUCUGUUUAACCAUUCCUUCGUUCAUUAUGAAAGCCUAUAUAUUGAUGAACACACACAUACAGAGGUUUCUUUGCUGUUAGAAAAUUCUGUUUGCUUUUCUAAUCUGUUUAAGCAUUUAUUCAUGAAGAGUGUGGGGCCAUUAAUGGGGAAGGGGGUGACAGUGCCUCAGCCAACAAAAUUCCAGUGACCAGUACUGGGUACUAAAUUUAGGAAGCUAAAAUGGCCAGAGCAAUUAACAUUUGAGAAAGCCUGUCUAGGAAAACAACUGGGGUCUAGGCAUGUGUAAUUCACUUCUACCAAAGUUGGAAAAGUACAAUUUAAGCCUAGGUCAGUUUUUACUUCAUGGAUGUUAAUUUGACAAAUGCAUAGUUCCCAGAGGGAAUUGAAACACUGUACUGGUGGGAAGAAACCUAGUAUUAAGGACUCUCAAAAACUUCAUAUUUAUUAAAAUGCACUGCUCUUACCCAACUUAUCCUCCAAAUCAAAAUUAAAAUUUCAGUGGAUUCUACAAAAUCUCCUACAAAUAGCUACAUAACUUUGUGCCUAUUUUAUUCCUCUAUUUAUUCUUCUAGGAAGAAGACUCUUCCUAGAAUCUUGAAAUAGAUCCCUUGACUGAGUGCCAAUUCCUCUCCUGUUUUUCAAAUGAGAGAACCUUCUCUGAUCACCUUGACCUUUUCCCUCAUUUCCUAUAUCUUCCCAGAAAGUACAUAGACUGCUCUGCUGCCUUCAGUCAUUGUGCCUAAUUUGGGUUCCCCCUCCUUUUCUUUGUGGAGAAAUCUAGAAAUGAUGUGCAGUGUAUCCAAAAGCUGUGGGAUGAAGUGGGUGAAAGUGAUUUAAUUUAUUUUUGAAUUUCUUGUUUGUUUUAGCAACAUGCUGAACAACUAAUUGACUUUAAAAAAUAAGCCAGUUAAAACAAAGGAUGCUAAGCCUAAGGGGAGGCAAUGUAAGUCAUGAUCUUAGGAGUCUAAUUCCAGACCAACUUUCAGAGGCACUUCUUUGUCUCUGUUCUCACCUCUGCUGUCUCUCUCUUCCCUUAUCCCCUAAGAGAGGCAAAGAUACUGCUUCCCUAAGUCUUACUGAUAUCAGCCACCCCAGGGGAAAGAAACUGGAUUUACUUAUGGCCACCCCCUGUUUCCAUCCAUAUACUUAUUUCCCCCAAUUUGCAUGUGAUUAUGGAAACAAGUCAUGCUCAUGAAAACAACUGUAAAAUAAAAGGUUGUGGAGUAGUUCAGCAACUUGGUCACAGCCAGCUUUGUGAAGCUGGGGCAGACUUAGGGCCCAGUUGAGUCUCAUGUACAGCUUCAGGGCUGUCCCUUUAAUUCGAUUUUUAAGCAAUGCUUCACUUAAUAGUUUAGGGGAUGAGGAUUCGAUUCAGGUAGGUUGUCUAAAGGAACUAAUGGGACCUCUCAGUGAAUCAGCUGAACAGAUUUUAGGAAAUCUUUUUAAUUUCUAUGAUUUCCCUUCUCACAUUUUGAAAUGGUCAAAUUGGCUGGAAACAAUUUUUCUUGGUGCCUUAUUGGUUUAUCCUUGCAAACCUUUGUCAUAUUUUCUCAUGACCAUUGCCAGUGACCAAGGCCCAUGUGUGUGUGUUGUGUGUAAUUGUGCACAUGUCCAAGCUUAAAUAAUGUACCGACAGCACUGUUUCAAAGUUGGUAUUCAUUAGGCUGUUUCCUUCUGGGCUGAAGCUGCACUAAUCCUGACGCUGGCUGCCAGGAGAAAACCUCAUGGAUCACACACCGAACCUUAAUAACAGCAUCCGUGACCUGCACUCUCCAGUACAGAAUGGGAACCCCAGAGCUAGGAAAUGUAGUUGUAUAUUUUAAUGAACUGCUACCCCUGCCAGAGAAGCUUCUUUCACUUUUGUGCUCUACAGAAAGCCCAAGGGGGGUAGGAGGGACAAAGCUUUGAAUAACUGCUUUCUAACACCAAAUGUGGCCAACAGGACAGAGCACAUCACACAUGUAGGCAGGUGUGAGGGACAGUGGCUAAGAAUUGCCUGCUCCCUCUGGCUGCUCUUGUUUCCAAAGUCCAAUCAGGUGAUCCUGGGAAAGAAAGCUGUCUAGGUUGGGGAGGGUCAUUCUGAAAGAACUGCCAAGACAUUAAAGCAGGGUGAAGGGUAGGCAGAAUAUAAGUAGCUAACCUGAGUCAAGGCUUUCAAAAGCUUCUUGUAACCUGAUAAUUACAGGAUUUAUUUCAGCCAGGAUAGUGUCUGUCUGCGGGUACAUCAUUUUAAGACCAUAUGAUUUCAUGUUGUUACAAACUGUGUGUAUAGUAUGUAUGUUUUGUGGGUGUGUAUAUACAUAAUAUAUAUUAUAUAUAUGAAAGAUUUGGUGACUUUUGAUACGGGUUUGGUGCAGGUGAAUUUAUUACUGAGCCAAAUGAGGCACAUACCGAGUCAGUAGUUCGAGUCCAGGGCAUUGAAUACUUCUGAUUUCCACAUAUGUAUAGUGCCUAUCCCAUGCAGUAGUCACUGUCAUGUUAAAUCCAGGCAUUACACAUUGGAGCCAGCGAUAUUUUAUUUGUAGACAAUCAAUUUGAAUCCAUAAAUUAUGACUGGCAGAUGAUACAUGAUUACAAUUCUGAAUCUGUAACACUUACAAAAGGAAACCCAGAGCUGCUGGAUGAGUUUUUGUUUCUGCUUCGUUCCUGGGAGUCAGUAGAAACAGCAGUUGUAUGUGGUUAUGUUAGUCUCAAGAUACUUCAUUUGUUGACCUUCAGAAAAAUUUUGUAUGUAUUAUAUUUGUGGGAAGGUAAAAUAAUGGUUUGAGAUUUUUAUCAAAUAUGAAGAUUAGUUAUUUAUGAAAAACAAAGAAAUGUCUAUUUUUCUUUGUUCCCAAUUAAUGUAGAUAAAUUUUAAAAUGCAUUAAAGUAAUGGUAAAGACAAUACAAAGGUGCUGUAGA
Molecule: RNA transcript, 3888 nt
Organism: Sapajus apella (tufted capuchin)
Lineage: Eukaryota; Metazoa; Chordata; Mammalia; Primates; Cebidae
Exons: 2
Source: RefSeq, a predicted model, not a curated record